This 311-nucleotide ribosomal RNA is filed under the name uncultured eukaryote. Its description in RNAcentral is "partial 18S ribosomal RNA". It matches the Rfam family "Eukaryotic small subunit ribosomal RNA", at positions 1470 to 1796 of the family's 1831-position model. The record is from RNAcentral.
CCCUUAGAUGUCCUGGGCCGCACGCGUGCUACACUGAUGCAUACAGUGAGUACUCCCAGCUCCGAGAGGCUGCUGGUAAUCAGCAAUAUGCAUCGUGAUGGGGAUAGAUCUUUGGAAUUAUAGAUCUUGAACGAGGAAUUCCUAGUAAUCGCAGGUCAUCACCCUGCGUUGACUAAGUCCCUGCCCUUUGUACACACCGCCCGUCGCUCCUACCGAUUUCGAGUGAUCCGGUGAAUCAUUCGGACCGCGGCCCCUAGGCAUGCGGAAAGUCUAGUAAACCAUAUCACUUAGAGGAAGGAGAAGUCGUAACA